This 699-nucleotide small RNA is filed under the name Pongo abelii (Sumatran orangutan). RNAcentral's name for it is "retained intron". Lineage: Eukaryota; Metazoa; Chordata; Mammalia; Primates; Hominidae. The record is from RNAcentral.
AUCAGGAAAUAUUCUUGGAGGUGGAGCUGGACCCUUGAGAAGCUCCGAGGGCCUGAUCCGGCGGAGACCCAUAGCAGAGGCUGGCAGGAAGCAGCGUGGGGGUGGGGGCUCCGGUCCCUGGGGUGGCGGGGGAACCUGGAUGGGCACAGUGAAGCCAGGCCUUGGAGGGCGGGAGAAGAUGGGAGAGGAAAUGGGGAGCCCCAUUGGUGCUGGAACAGAGUCAUAACUUGGCAGAAACUGGUAGGACUGCGGAAUCGCGGGAUCAGGAAGCGCGUAGGCACUCCCGGAGCGUGCAGGGCAGGUGCUGCUGGAGAGAGAGCUGGCCAAGCUGAGCGCCGAGCUGGACAAGGACCUGCGGGCAAUUGAGACCCGACUGCCGUCCCCCAAGGUACCAGCCCACAGGGUUCACCCGCGGGGCACGCCGGGGACCGCAGGGUCGGGGCGAGCCGGGAGCCUCGGCGGCUGGGCUGGGCGGAGGACCGGCAGCCGAGGUCCGGCCUCCAGAGGCGCGUACCGGCCUCGAGCCCUCCUGGGUGCUGGCGGGCUCGCUCCUCCAUAAAUAAAAUACAGGGCGUCGACUUUCGCAAGUGACCCCGAGGAGCCUUUCUAAGCGGACUCCACGUCAGCCCGACGCCCGGGCGCCCGCCCCGUCCCGCCCCCUGGCCGCAGCCUCGGGGACCCCCGCCCCUUCCCCUAGUU